Molecule: RNA transcript, 4220 nt
Organism: Gossypium raimondii (Peruvian cotton)
Lineage: Eukaryota; Viridiplantae; Streptophyta; Magnoliopsida; Malvales; Malvaceae
Gene name: long-chain-fatty-acid--[acyl-carrier-protein] ligase AEE15, chloroplastic
Exons: 12
Source: RefSeq, a predicted model, not a curated record
AGGAGAAGAGCCCCUCUGCCCGUUUUCAUCAGUCUUUUCAAAUCCCCUUCCUUUCCCAUCGUUGGAAAUUUAAAUCCUCUCUCCUUCACUUUCCCAAUUCUUCACUAUUUCUUUCUCUUCAAAUUUUUCCUCUCUCAUCCGUUUUCUUCUCUUUCUUCUCAAUCGUUUCUGUUUUUUUUUCUGAUAUGGAAAUCACUUGCUUCAUCCAUAGAUUUUGGGUUUUCAGUCCUAGGAAAUAUUGUUUCGGUUCGUCUUUUCAAAUCUAUGGAUGUCUUUGUGGUUGUUCUUGUUGGAUGCUUUGGGAAAGAAAGAAACUCUGGCUCUGCAAGAUUUCACCAGCAAUGGCCUCUCUUUUGCAGUCAAUCUCUAUUACAUUGAUUCUUAUCCCAAAUAGACACGCUAUUCCCUUCAUCGUAUUGCACGACUGCCAAAAGCGGAGGUGGAAGUUUGCCAAUGCAUAUUGAAAAGUUUUAUGAGACAAUUGGUCUGGAAGUGCAGAAUGGAUAUGGUUUAAUAGAAACAUCACCUUGCGUUGCUGGUCGACAACCUUAUUAUAAUGUUUACAAUUCACUGUUUCGCUCUGUGUUUGAAAUCUAUUGAUAUGGGUCUGUCUGUUUCUUUUUGGUUGCUUUUUCGGAGGCUGAUUUCAGGUUUAGACAUCACUGUUUCGUUUCUUGUUUCAAAUCUAUUGAUCUCGAUCUGUUUGUUCUUUUUGUUUGUUUCCUGUGUCCUUUUUCGAGUGGAAUUCAAAAGCGGAUAUCUUCAAGCCCCAAUGCUAUUAAAUUAAUAGUAUUUUCAUUCAUAAGGGUCAGCUUGGCAUACACGGAGUUGAAGAGAAUUUAUGAGGUGAUGGCAAUUUUUGUGAAACUAAAGUUGAAUUCUGCAGAUUCCUUGUUAAUGCUUUAUGUUGUUAUGCACUCUCCCAUGGCUUAAAUUCAUUCUUUAAUGCCCUAAAACUUGAGAUAAAUGGGGAUUUUAGAUGCCAGUUUAACGUGAUACCCAUAUUUCUUUUAUGGAUAUAAUGCCUAAAGUUCAACUAAGACCAGAUACUUCAUUUCUAGUGAAAUUGUUUAAGCAAUUGUGCCUUUGUAUAAAUUGUUAAAAUUCUGUUAAAUGUACAUUCAAGGUUAAACAUGGUUCUGCUUAUCAGGGAAUUCAUUUGACAAUAGGGUUAUGCUGAUAAUGCUUUCUGCAGAAUAUGGUGACUAUUCUGCAGAAUAGGGUUUGACAAUAGGGUUAUGUGGAAUUGACCAUACUGAAUAAAGCAAAUUAAAAACUAUCAUCCUGUGUUGCUUUAAUUUUCAUUUUUCUUAAAGUAUCCAUGUUCAACACAUUCCCGGACGUGGCAUAUGACCCUCCAAAUACAUGAAAGGUUAUGUUACUUGGACUUCGGUGUAAGUAUUGGACAUAGGCAUCUGACCUGAGUAUUUUCAGUUUUUUCUAGGAUCGCAUGUAUUUGGAGGACUUUUGGAGGACUAUAUCUCGAUGCCCAUGUCUUUGCAUGUGUUGGAGAUGAAUUCAGACACAAUAGUUAUUUAGGCAAAAUGAAGAGUUGGGUUAAUAUAGAGAAAAACUUACCAAAAAAAAAUCAAACAUACCCAUAUAAGAUGCGUGCGUGUCACAUGUACCGAGUGUUGGUGCACUCAUAUGGUCCUCUGACUGCCUUUUUCGCUCCAAACUAUCAAACUGCAUGAAUUCUAAUGUUCGUUAGUCAGUUGUUUCAACUCAGUUUUGCCGUUUGAUUUUUAUUUGAUCACAAAAAAAUCCACUCCGCUAUUGGGUUAGAAAAGGGUUUCCUGUUUUCUUAUUCAAAGAGUCACUGUUACGUUCCGUUGAAAUUAUGGAUCUCGGUGUGGUACUUUUUGGUUCUUUAUCUUGGCUUCUGUUUUGGCGUUUGGGCCUGUGCCCUCCUUAGUUUAUGGCCUUUUGGGCUUUUAUCCCGCUUGGAGGCUGUCUGACCCUAUUUGCAAAUGCACAAAAACGAAGGUUUCUCUUUUGUGGACGUUGGCCAUUCAUAUCAACCCAAGGUAUCUCUCUACAAUCUAAUGGUUAACAAUGGAAGUUUAAUAAAACCGUGGGUUUUUAGCUGCUUCCAUGCAAUUUUCUUCUUCAUAUCUGGAAAAUAUUACUAUCUAAUUCAGAAGUACUUCUGGGAUGUUGCUUAUGGACUCCUUGACGAAGAUAUCUUUCAAUCGCUGCUGCAUUAGAGGUGGAGAUUUGAUUAUUGUAUAUGAGAGGCAUGAUACUAUGAAAGUUGUUAAAAUUGUGCGACAAUUCGGUUCUUCAAAAUCGUUUGGGUGUAUUUAAAGCUGUUAAAGCUGCAUUAUAUUUGUUAAGGAAUAAGAAAACACUAAGUAAAUCAUACCGAGUUUUUAAAACAUAGGCUUUUCUUCUUUUUUCCACGCCCUGCUUCUUUCUCGUUGAAGAUUGGGGACUUUUGCGCUCGCAAUAAAGCUAGGUCCUGAUCGAGCAAGUAGUCCUAUCUAUCCACCUCUCCAAAAACAAUAUAUUGACCACAUCUGCUGGCAUGUGAUGUUUGGACAUAGAAUCGAGUCCUUGUAAAUGGGCAGAGCUGGGUAUUAAUAAGCACUGAAUUUAUUUUACAACGUUUUAAUAAGCACUAAAUUUAUUUUACAACGAUUUAGUAAGCACUGAAUUUAAUUCAUUCUUAUUCUGCACCAGGGAUAUCCCCAUGAUAUCCCGCACCGGGAUAAGCUAUUCCAAGAUUUUUCUUGUCGUAUUUCAUCCGGUUCAGUAUUUUUAGUGUCCGGUUUGGCUGUUCUGGCAGCCGGUUCAGAUUUUUAACCUGUCUGGACCGGGUUACCUGACAUAGAUAUUCCAAGCAGGGAUAUCCCAUUCCAGGGUUAUCCCGACUUCGGUUAUCCUAUUCUAGGGGCAUCCCGGCUUGGGAUAUUCUAUUGUACGGAUAUCCCUCCUUGGGAUCUAGGGGUUUGAGGCUUGGGGCCUGGGUUUUGGGUUGGGCUGGUGUUUUUGGACUUUUGUUUCAGUGUUUGGGGCUUUGGAUCUCCUAGGUUUUGGAUUACUGGGUUUUAGACUACAUCAGAUUGUGAUUUCAGGGACCAAAAUAUAUACCUAAAAUUUAUUAGCCUUGUAAAUUAUUAAAAAAGAAUUGAGGAUGAUGUUUCAUUUUAAUUGAAAUGGGCUCUUUUUAUAAUAAUUCCAACAAGCCAACUCUAGGCCAUUGAUGACUUUAAUCCAACAAACCAAAUGGACCGUCUGAAUGAGGGGAAGAAAAUAAGGAAGCCAGCCACUAAGAAAUGAAGCUUCUCUCUCCUUUGUUAUAGGAUUUAUGAAUAACCUCGAUUUCAAUCUCUCUCCUCCUGCUAUAUCUCCGGCAGUAAAACUCCACCGUUUCUUUCUAUCUUCAUCAGUUGGGUUUUGGCUCAGAUCGACUCCCGCGUAAGAAUUUGUGCCUUUGUUUCACAGUUCGAAUCCUUAUUUCUCUUCUCCUAAAGAUUCUUCUCAUUUGAAUCUUUGCCAUUAUCGUUUUUACACAACUUUUGGUUUGGAAUUACGGGUCGAUCAUUUGAAUCUUUGCCAUUAUCUGUUUUGGAGUGUGGUGUGUUUAACUGUUUUGCCGUUAUUUGUUUCACAUGUCGUGUAAAUAAUCGAGAUUCCAAUUCAAAUGAUGAGACAAGUGCUAGGGCUAGCCUAUCCAGAAUCGUUAUGUUAGCUGAAGCUUUAUUUGAGGUUCUGGAUGAAAUCCCCCAGCAGUCUGUGGUUUUAUCUUCUCGACCUUCUGUAUCUUCAAUUUGAUCUGUUCCCGCUCCUAACGAAGUUGUGGAAUUGCUUCCUGUCAAAAUUUAUAACAAGUCACACAAACUUCAUAAUGAUGAGGCUGGACAGUUCUCCCUGUAAUCCUCAGAUUGUAUCUUUCUUGGGAUUGCUAGAUCUUCCUUAUGUUCUUGAUAAUGCAUCGGACUACAGGGAUACUCCUGCUUCAUUGCCUCAAAAGGGUAGAGUUUUCUAUUUACCUUGCCCCACUCAGUUUUGAUGAUGUUACAGCAUCCGUUAUGUGAUAGGCCAGUUUAAGAAGAAUACCUUUUCAGGAGUUUCGGAGAAAUCACCUAGAAUAACCAAGCUUUUGAAGCUUUCAAGUUAAUAAUCCGUUAAACUAAUGAAUGGAGGGCUUUAAACAAAGCCAACAAUUGUUUCGGGUUUACCUAUUUAUUAUAAAGCUGAUUUUGUUUGCCUUUCUA